AACGAACGCUGGCGGCAUGCCUAACACAUGCAAGUCGAACGAGACCUUCGGGUCUAGUGGCGCACGGGUGCGUAACGCGUGGGAACCUGCCCUUAGGUUCGGAAUAACUCCCCGAAAGGGGUGCUAAUACCGGAUAAUGUCUUCGGACCAAAGAUUUAUCGCCUUUGGAUGGGCCCGCGUUGGAUUAGCUAGUUGGUAGGGUAAAAGCCUACCAAGGCGACGAUCCAUAGCUGGUCUGAGAGGAUGAUCAGCCACACGGGGACUGAGACACGGCCCAGACUCUUACGCGAGGCACCAGUGGGGAAUAUUGCACAAUGGGCGAAAGCCUGAUCCAGCACUGCCGCGUGAGCUAUGAAGGCCUUAGGGUUGUAAAGCUCUUUUACCCGUGAUGAUAAUGACAGUACCGGGAGAAUAAGCCCCGGCUAACUACGUG
RNAcentral lists this ribosomal RNA (433 nucleotides) under uncultured bacterium. Its description in RNAcentral is "partial 16S ribosomal RNA". It matches the Rfam family "Bacterial small subunit ribosomal RNA", at positions 29 to 507 of the family's 1533-position model. The record is from RNAcentral.